UCAUAAACAGAAAGAGCAAACCUAGAAAACUGAAACAUCUUAGUAUCUAGAGGAAUAAAAAGCAAACGCGAUUUCCUGAGUAGUGGCGAGCGAAAAGGAAACAGCCUAAACCGUUCUUUUAAGAGCGGGGUUGUGGGAGAGUUCCCUAAAGGGGAAGAGAUAGUAGGAGAAAUAACCGAGAUUUAUACCUUAGAAGGUGAAAGUCCUGUAACUGAGCUAUUUGUUUUCUUCGAACUCUAUCCCGAGUAGCAUGAGGCACGUGAAACCUUGUGUGAAUCUGCGAGGACCACCUCGUAAGGCUAAAUACUCCUGAAUGACCGAUAGUGGAAUAGUACCGUGAGGGAAAGGUGAAAAGCACUCCUAGCGGGGGAUGAAAUAGAUCAUGAAACCAUAAGCUUACAAGCAGUGGGAGAAAACAAAACACUAUUUUGAUUUGACCGCGUGCCUGUUGAAGAAUGAGCCGGCGACUUAUAGGCGGUGGCCUGGUUAAAGAAUUCCUGAAGCCAUAGCGAAAGCAAGUCAUACCACGGCAUACGUCACCGUUUAUAGACCCGAACCCGGGUGAUCUACCCAUGGCCAGGAUGAAAUUUGCAUACAACCAAAUAGAGGUCCGAACCGACUGGUGUUGAAAAACCAACGGAUGAGCUGUGGAUAGGGGUGAAAUGCCACUCGAACCCGGAGCUAGCUGGUUCUCCCCGAAAUGCGUUGAGGCGCAGCGGUUGAUUAGACUACCUAGGGGUAAAGCACUGUUUGGGUGCGGGCUGCGAAAGCGGUACCAAAUCGAGGCAAACUCUGAAUACUAGGUAUAGCAUCAAAUCAGCCAGUAAGACCUUGGGGGAUAAGCUCCAUGGUCAAAAGGGAAACAGCCCAGAUCACCAGUUAAGGCCCCUAAAUGACCGCUCAGUGGUAAAGGAUGUGGAAGUGCAGAGACAGCUAGAAGGUUUGCCCAGAAGCAGCUACCCUUGGAAGAGUGCGUAAUAGCUCACUGAUCGAGCGCUUCCGCGCCGAAAAUAAAUGGGACUAAGCGGUCUGCCGACACUGUGAGAUGUUCUAUGUGUAACAUCGGUAGGGGAGCGUUCUGCUCGAUGAAAGGAUCCACUUUUAUCAGAGUUUGCAUGAGUGUUGUCUCUAUACUUAUUUGCUAUAGAUUGAAUAUUCAUCAAGCAGAGCAGAAGUGAGAAUGUCGGCUUAAGUAACGAAAACAUCGGUGAGAAUCCGGUGCCCCGAAAACCCAAGGGUUCCUACGCUAGGUUCGUCCACGUAGGGUAAGUCAGGGCCUUAGAUCAAGCCAAAUGGCGUAGUCGAUGGUCAACAGGUCAAGAUUCCUGUACUAUUUUUUCUUGAUCCUAGAGGGACGAAGUAAUACAAUAUAGGGUAAUAGUUCCGCAAUGGCAGGAUAAGAUAGGGCAAGCUAAGACGAAGGCUUUGACUUUUUAAAAAAUUGCAUUGCAGGGUUUAUGCUGUUUUGUCUGUGUUAUUCUUAUUGUACUUCCUAGAAAAGCUUGAUGGAUGUUGAUGUUAACAUCUCACGAUGACGCAAAAAACAAGAGAAAAUAUCUGUACCGUACACCGACACAGGUGGGUAGGUUGAGAAUACCUAGGGGCGCGAGACAACUCUCUCUAAGGAACUCGGCAAAAUAGCCCUGUAACUUCGGGAUAAGGGGUGCCUUUUGAUCCAGAGGCUGCAAAUGUUUUUUUUUAGUUGGAUCAAAAGAAAAGAUUAACAAUUGGAUCAAAAGAAAAGAUUAACAAAAAGACAAUUGAAGUGUUUGUGGUUAGAAGGUUGCAGUGACCAGACCCAGGCGACUGUUUAACAAAAACACAGGUCUCCGCAAAGUCGUAAGACGAAGUAUGGGGGCUGACGCCUGCCCAGUGCCGGAAGGUUAAGGAAGUUUGUUCCCUGAAACCAGGAACGCAGAUGACCGAAGCCCCGGUGAACGGCGGCCGUAACUAUGACGGUCCUAAGGUAGCGAAAUUCCUUGUCGGGUAAGUUCCGACCCGCACGAAAGGCGUAACGAUCUGGGUACUGUCUCGGAGAGAGACUCGGUGAAAUAGACUUGUCUGUGAAGAUGCGGACUACCUGCACCUGGACAGAAAGACCCUAUGAAGCUUUACUGUUUCUUGGGACUGGAUAUGGGUUUCUUAUGCGCAGCCUAGGUGGGAGGCAAUGAUAGAGUCUUUCCGGGGAUUUUUGAGCCACUCCUGAGAUACCACCCUUAAGAAACUAAGCUUCUAACUUUGCCCCUCGAAGAAGGCCCAAAGGACACUCCCAGGUAGACAGUUUCUAUGGGGCGUAGGCCUCCUAAAGAGUAACGGAGGCGUGCAAAGGUUUCCUCAGACUGGACGGAAAUCAGUCUUUGAGUGUAAGGGCAAAAGGAAGCUUGACUGCAAGACCUACAAGUCGAGCAGGGACGAAAGUCGGCCCUAGUGAUCCGACGGUACCGAGUGGAAGGGCCGUCGCUCCACGGAUAAAAGUUACUCUAGGGAUAACAGGCUGAUCUUCCCCAAGAGUUCAC
RNAcentral lists this ribosomal RNA (2516 nucleotides) under Mesotaenium caldariorum. RNAcentral describes it as "partial 23S ribosomal RNA". It matches the Rfam family "Bacterial large subunit ribosomal RNA", at positions 164 to 2503 of the family's 2925-position model. Lineage: Eukaryota; Viridiplantae; Streptophyta; Zygnematophyceae; Zygnematales; Mesotaeniaceae. The record is from RNAcentral.